UUAGAUGUUAAAAAUGCCUUCCUCCAUGGCACUCUCAAUGAAACUGUCUAUUGUCAACAACCUUCGGGUUUUGAGAAUUCCUCUUCUCCUGAUUUUGUUUGUCGUCUUCACAAAUCUCUGUACGGUCUUAAACAAGCUCCUCGUGCUUGGUUUCAUCGCUUCACCACCUUUAUUCACACAAUAGGUUUUACCGCGUCUAAAUCUGAUUCAUCUCUCUUCAUUUUUCGUUCCUCCUCCCAUACUGCCUAUCUUCUCUUAUAUGUUGAUGACAUAAUUCUCACUGCCUCUUCUGAUUCCUUUUUACAACACAUUAUAUCUUCUCUUAAUCGUGAAUUUUCCAUGACUGAUCUCGGUCCUCUUCAUCACUUUCUUGGGAUCACUGUCUCCCGCACUUCAUCUACACUCUUUCCCUCUCAACGCCAGUACAUUCUUGACUUGCUCUCUCGUGCAGGGAUGACUGACUGUCAACCAUGUCGUACGCCGGUCGACGUUGGUACCAAGUUGUCGGCCGACGGUGAACCUUUUUCUGAUCCUACUCUAUAUCGCAGUAUCACUGGUGCUCUCCAAUAUGCCACACUCACUCGUCCUGAUAUAUCUUAUUCUGUUCAACAAGCGAGCUUAUAUAUGCAUGAUCCUCGUGUUCCUCAUUAUUCUCAUGUCAAGAGAAUACUUCGGUAUCUCAAAGGCACUAUUGAUCAUGGUCUUCUCCUUAAUUCUUCCUCUCCAACAAGCUUGACAGUUUAUUCUGAUGCAGACUGGGCGGGUUGUCUAGAUACUCGACGAUCUACAUCCGGCUUUUGUGUUUAUUUGGGUGACAAUCUUGUUUCUUGGUCUUCUAAAAGGCAGGUUACAGUUUCCAGAUCGUCUGCAGAAGCUGAAUACAGGUUUGUUGCUCAUUCUGUGGCCGAGGCGGUGUGGCUCCGUCAGCUUUUGGUUGAGCUCCAUCGACCAAUCGAGCGUGCAACUAUUGUUUAUUGCGACAAUAUUUCUGCAGUCUACAUGGCGUCCAAUCCUGUUCAGCAUCGACGCACCAAGCACAUCGAGAUUGAUAUUCAUUUUGUUCGUGAAAAAGUGGCUCUUGGCGAGGUCCGUGUGCUUCAUGUUCCUACCACUGCGCAAUUUGCUGAUAUUUUCACCAAGGGGCUCCCCACUGCAGCAUUCACU
RNAcentral lists this ribosomal RNA (1164 nucleotides) under Triticum aestivum (bread wheat). Its description in RNAcentral is "partial small subunit ribosomal RNA". Lineage: Eukaryota; Viridiplantae; Streptophyta; Magnoliopsida; Poales; Poaceae. The record is from RNAcentral.